CAGCGUCACAAGUGGCAACCGCUUUUAUUGGGCCUAAAAGUUCGUAGCCGGUUUGGUAAAUCCUUUGUGAAAUUGUUGUGCUCAACACAACAACGUGCAGAGGACACUGUCAAACUAGGAAUCGGGAAGGGUUAGAAGUAUUUCAGGGGUAGCGGUAAAAUGUUAUAAUCCCAGAAGGACUAUCGGUGGCGAAGGCGUCUAACUAGAACGAAUUCGACGGUGAGGAACGAAAGCUAGGGGAGCGAUCCGGAUUAGAGACCCGAGUAGUCC
RNAcentral lists this ribosomal RNA (270 nucleotides) under uncultured archaeon. Its description in RNAcentral is "partial 16S ribosomal RNA". It matches the Rfam family "Archaeal small subunit ribosomal RNA", at positions 477 to 747 of the family's 1478-position model. The record is from RNAcentral.